RNAcentral lists this long non-coding RNA (4235 nucleotides) under Fragaria vesca (wild strawberry). Its description in RNAcentral is "long non-coding RNA (FVES_LNC001121)". The record is from RNAcentral. Lineage: Eukaryota; Viridiplantae; Streptophyta; Magnoliopsida; Rosales; Rosaceae.
AGGCAUCGGCCCUCUUCUCAAAUUCAAUAAGUGCUGUGGGUUUGCCUAUUGUUCCAGUUCUAGCUGUGAUCUUCUUCCAUGACAAAAUGGAUGGGAUAAAGGCAAUGUCCAUGGUUUUGGCUAUUUGGGGAUUCAUUUCAUAUGUUUAUCAGCACUACCUCGAUGAUCGUAAGUCCAAGAGUGAGAAGAAAGCUGCCAAUGAUGAAGUUUCUAAAGCUUUCUCUCUGGAAACAUAAAUGGUUGAACAAUCAACCUUGUAUACAUGAACUUGAUUCUAGUCUUAUGCAAAAGAAUGAGAUAAAGAUUUCACUUACAUUAAUGAGGUCAAUAUUUACUAAUUUACAUGCUGACUAGUUAUGAUAAAUAGAUGCAUGUCCUGGUAAAACCGUAAAAGUCCAUUGUUUUCUACUUGAAUGUUCCUUAUAGGGAAUCAAACAUGUUUUAAAGUUAUAACUUUGUAGGCAGAAAGUGGCUGAUUGUGAUGGCCAGAUGUUUUUCAGAAAUUGUUUAAAAUGAUGCAGGGCCUCAAAUCAAUCCAUGGAUCUCCAUGAUCACCUGCAACAAUAUCAGGCAUUUCAUACUCCAUAUAGCUAGCAUGGUCAUUCCAAACUAUCCCAUGCUCAACUUCAUGCUGAUAACUGCCAUCUAUGUUUUGGUAAGAGAAUCCUAUUUAACCAUUAAACUUUUUCAAGCAGACACUGCAUACUAAUUCUCACCUUCUGCUGUUCUAUUGACUUGAUUCUACAGGUAUCUCAUAGGCUUUUUGAGUUAACGAAUACGCUCAAGACAGUCUUUGUAUAAUUUUCUUGCUGGGGCAGCCAUUUUUACUUCUUUGUACUUCAUUUCAUUCAUUAUUGUUCAGAUACCUCAUUGACCAGUAAGCACCUUUCUGCUGUAUGCUCAGUCUAAUGUUCCAUAGUUUACAUUUGGUAACCAGUUGUUACUGUUGCAGGCUUUACAAAUCAAGACCCAAACGAGGGUUAUACAGAUGCUUCCUGUUGGAUGUGCAAAUAUAGAAAGAAUUGAAUAAAGGGAGCUGGGAGUGUCAGUGGCAACUGUAGCCUGAAAAAUGUGGUUCCACCAGUUUUCAAGCAGAAAGGCACUCCAUAGCUGUGUGAAAACCGAAUACCAGUAGAGUUCCCCAUGAGAAGUUUAGAUGGGGGAAGGAAGCAGGGAGCAGUAGGAAAAUUCUUUUGAAAUAUUGUGGAUUGUUGUGUAUCUUCAUUUUUUCUUUACCCCCCAGUUUUGCUAAAUCAUUGAAGAAAAAUGUAGAUCUCUGUGACAUAGUUAGCUUCGUUUGCUGUUAUAAAACAAGUUCAUAUUCAAUGAAUCAAUGGAAAGGAAAUAGUUGAAAUACCCUAUAUAUUAUAGUGCAAUUCUGUUCUGAAUCUUUGUAAGGCAUCUCUGCCGAUGAUUAGUCGUUAAAAGAAAUGUACAUUUGAUAAAUAUUUGUCGAAAGACUUAAUUCGGUGAAGGCUUGGGACACAAGUUUCUUGGGCCCAAACUCAGACCCGUUGUGGGAUUAAUAUAUCAACACGCCCACGCACGUGUGAUGAAUUUUUAAACCUAACACGUUGACAACAUUUAGGGUGACAUGGAGUUUGUGUGACCAUUGGGCUUUACACGUGGACGUGGGUAACCCGCUCUGAUACCAUAAUAAAGUAGUCUGGGGUUCAUAUCCAAAACCAAUUGGCAAUAAAUGGAGUGGCCCAAACCCUUAUUAACUCACAUGCAAGGUCUCAUAUUCCCGAUGUGAAAUUAAUAUCUCAACAUACAGGCAUCUUGUGUCAUGUAGGAGAAUCCUAACAACAAUUGUACUAAUGUGUUGUUGCACGCUCUUCAUGCCACACCAUAUAUAUUCUCUUGCGUAUUCAGAUGUAUAUCUUCCGAUUUGUUAUUUCACACUUUCCAUACUUGGCCUAAAACUCCAAUAAUUGAAGAUAUUCUCCAACAAUCCCCUGAAAUUUCAAUCAUUUCAGGAUAGGAAGAGAUUGGUUGUUAAUCCUUGUGAACCAUUUUUUCUUUUUGACAAAGACGUUAAAAGAACUUUCACAGUAGCUUACAAACAGUAAAACCAUGAAUCAAACUUGCAAAAUGCAAAUGAUAAUGAAAGAAGGUAAACGAAUAGCUAAUCAGUAAGUGGUGGGGAUCUUAGUCAUUGGCACCGGAUGUCCCACGUAUAAAUCAACGAAGGUCGACACUCACACCGUUAUGGCCCUUCCCAGACAAUGAGGGCGAUAGUUAUCUAAUCUACAGCCGACCCCCAAGAGGUUGAAUCUCAUCUCAGACAAAAGGAGAAGAUCAAAUCCAAGAGUCUCAUUCAUAAAUCAUUUGUCAUAUUAAAUUUUGCUGCAACUUUGGCUGAGAGACUUAAAUACCAAGCAGCCAUAGUAGACUGAGAGAAUAAUACACCGAUGGAAACUCCAAUCACUUGCUCUUUGCCCCAAAUGAAAAAAAAAAAAAAAAAACUACCAACACUUGCUCCAUCUCUCUUAUAUAUGUGUGUGUGUGUCUAUUGUUCUCUACGUUGUUUCUUCCAUUUCGUGAUAGAUAUGACCUCCCACAUGUACACGACACAAUUUCAUGUGUCUCUCUCUCUCUCUCUCUCUCUCUCUCUCUCUCUCUCUCUGUUUGAAAGUUUGUUCUUCACCUUUUGACAUGGGAGAGGUAGAAGCUCAAGAACUGCAGCUGAGCAUCAAGGGUAUGUCAACUAGUUCAUUUACUUACUGGCCUUUAAAUUUUCACUGCAUGCUGCAAUUCUAGAAUCUAUGGAGACUGAUAUGAAGCCAAUCCCAACUACUAGUACUAGCUAUGGAAACUGCUGCUUUUCUCUGAACAAUCUUUUAUUCUGCAUAUAUUAGUCUUAAAAUUUAGGUGCAGAUGGAGAAGAGUCAGAGUUUGAGCUUUACUGUUAUCAGAUCAAAGUCGAAAGAAGUUCUAAAGCUAUAACUAGCGUGGUAGAGAAAAAAAUAUAUAUUACUGAUCAUCAUGAGUUCCCCUACUGAUCCUUGGAUAUUUGUUUCAUUGUUUGUACUACCAGUUCAAGAAGCAAAUGAAGCAAACUCCCAACCAGAUGUUCCUAAUAACCAGCUGCCUCGGAGCAGAGGUUUCAACUGGUGGCUUAGAAUAUCGAUUUACACAGUCUUUGUCCUUGCUGGCCAGGCAAUUGCAACACUCUUGGGAAGACAGUACUAUGAAAAAGGUGGAAGCAGCAACUGGCUUGCAACACUAGUACAGCUUUGUGGCUUUCCUAUCCUCCUUCCCUUUUAUUUCAUUCCAGCAUUAAACAAAAACUGUCCAACCACAAAUAGUACUACAUCAUUCGAGUCAAAGCCACCGUCUACAUUAGUCCUAGCAUCAAUUUAUGCCUCUCUUGGCCUUCUUAUAGCUGGAGACUGCUUCUUGUAUUCAGUAGGAUUAUCUUACCUUCCUGUAUCUACUUACUCCCUCAUCUGCGCAUCCCAACUCGCUUUCAAUGCACUUUUCUCCUUCGUCCUCAACUCGCAGAAGUUCACUCCUUACAUUGUCAACUCUCUUGUUGUCCUGACUAUCUCAUCCAGCCUCCUAGUGCUUCAAGGAGACGACUCUGCUGACUCGAGUAAAGUUUCCAGGCCAAAGUACAUAAUAGGCUUCUUCUGCACAGUUGGAGCAUCAGCUGGAUAUGCAUUACAGCUUUCCCUAACGCAGCUAAUCUUCAUAAAGGUUAUAAAGAAAGAGACAUUUAGAGUGAUCAUGGAUAUGAUUGUAUAUCAAUCAGUCUAUUCAUCCGCUAUUAUCUUGGUGGGAUUUUUUGCUAGUGGAGACUGGAAGGGUAUAAAGAAUGAGAUGGAGGGGUUUGAGUUAGGGAAGGUGUCAUAUAUUAUGAAUUUAACAUGGACAGCUAUAGUGUGGCAGCUCUUUUCCAUAGGAAUGGUGGGGUUAGUAUUUGAGGCAUCGGCCCUCUUCUCAAAUUCAAUAAGUGCUGUGGGUUUGCCUAUUGUUCCAGUUCUAGCUGUGAUCUUCUUCCAUGACAAAAUGGAUGGGAUAAAGGCAAUGUCCAUGGUUUUGGCUAUUUGGGGAUUCAUUUCAUAUGUUUAUCAGCACUACCUCGAUGAUCGUAAGUCCAAGAGUGAGAAGAAAGCUGCCAAUGAUGAAGUUUCUAAAGCUUUCUCUCUGGAAACACAAAUGGUUGAACAAUCAGCCUUGUAUACAUGAACUUGAUUCUAGUCUUAUGCAAAAGAAUGAGAUAAAGAUUU